RNAcentral lists this long non-coding RNA (689 nucleotides) under Equus caballus (horse). Its description in RNAcentral is "lncRNA (ENSECAG00000046856.1)". Lineage: Eukaryota; Metazoa; Chordata; Mammalia; Perissodactyla; Equidae. The record is from RNAcentral.
GGCCCCGGCCACAGAGGUGCGCAUUGGGCACCUUCUGCCCUGCCCACCCCAGGCCAGGCGAGUGUGCUGGCUGGACACAGGCUUCAGGGGCUGUGUGUCUGUGGCCAUCGUUCCUCCGGCAGCAGAAACCCAGGAGAGAGAACGGCUGGAGCAGCUGAGGCAGGAGAUCCACCCCAGUCCUGCCUUCUACACUUUCUUCCCUCUGGAUGAGUUCUCCCCUGGGAAGCUCAAUGGUCCUCCCUAGAAAUGGACCCCAGCAGACCCCCAGCAUCGGGAAUCCCGGGACCCACACGUGCUGCUGACAACGGGGAGCACCCGAGACGGGAAGGUGCAGCCCGCGAAUUCAGGGGAAAGGAAGAGCCUUGAUAAUAACUUAAAUUGGGUUUCCUGCCAAGCUGGCAGAUAGGAACUUGAAGUCAAUUUGAAGAAAUGAGAGAAACGUGACCUUUCUUGCACACUCGAGUUCAUGAACCACGGUCUCAUGUGCUACACUCUCUCACUCCACGUCAGGUGCGAUUUCCUCUUAAAAUUGUUUGUUUUCCCCUGUAUGGAGCAGAGAGCAUCUGAGUGGGCUCUGACAUCCACUAACAUCACCACUUUCCCCAAGCAGUGGGUCUGCUCCUUUCUUAUUCAUCUUUCUUCUUCUUCCAAACAAAACUAAAAAAAACCGUGGCAGACAGGUGGUCCCC